This 1613-nucleotide ribosomal RNA is filed under the name Chiropterotriton sp. J. Its description in RNAcentral is "partial 16S ribosomal RNA". It matches the Rfam family "Bacterial large subunit ribosomal RNA", at positions 108 to 2586 of the family's 2925-position model. The record is from RNAcentral. Lineage: Eukaryota; Metazoa; Chordata; Amphibia; Caudata; Plethodontidae.
AGAUGGAAGAAAUGGGCUACAUUUUCUUUAUAGAAUAGACGGAAUGUUAAAUGAAAUAUACAUGAAGGAGGAUUUAGUAGUAAAAAGAAAAAAGAGAGUUCUUUUAAAAUUAUGGCAAUAGGACAAGUACACACCGCCCGUCACCCUCAUUUAUUAAAAUAAAAAUAUAUAAAUUAAUAAUAAUUAAGAAGAGGAAAGUCGUAACAUGGUAAGUCUACCGGAAGGUGGCCUUGGAAUCAGAAUAUAGCUUAAUAAAAGCCUUUUGUUUACACCAAAAAAAUAUCCUUUAGAUUAUUCUGAUACUAUCAAACUAGCCUAUACCUUAUUUUACUCUUCCUAUCUUAAUAAAUCAUUUGAAUAUAUUAGUAUGAGUGACAAAAAAUAUGUUAAGCGCAAUAAAUUUAGUACUGUAAAGGAAAGAUGAAAUAGAAAUUAAAAAAAUAUAAAAGUAUAAUAAAGCAAAGAUUAGCACCUAUACCUUUUGCAUAAUGGUCUAGCAAGUUUAACCUAACAAAAAUACCUAAAGCUGGAACCCCCGAAACCAAACGAGCUACCUUAAGGCAAAUUAAAUAUCUAUCUCUGUGGCAAAAGAGAAAGAAAGACUCACAGGUAGAGGCGAAAAACCAAACGAGUUUGGAGAUAGCUGGUUGCUUGGGAAUGAAUUAAGUUCAACUAAAAGUAAUAUUACCAAUAAGGACUCAUAAAGCUUUUAAUAUAAUAAACUAGGGUACAGCCUAUUUUAUAAAGGGAACAGCCUAUAAAAAUAAAUAAAGAUACAAAAUUAUAAUAAAGUAGGCCUAAAGCAGCCACCAGAAAAUAGCGUCAUAGCUUUAUCAUAUAAUUAAACUAUUUUAAUAUAUAAUCUAAAUUUAUUUAAAUAAUCAAGCCCAAUCUAUUAAUAGAUGAACUACUACUAGAAUAAGUAAUAAGGAUUACCUCAUAAUACAUGUGUAAAUCAAAACGAACUAUCACUGAUAAUUAACGAAAAUAUUUGAUUUAACUAGAACUUAAUUUUUUUAAAUCGUUUACCCAACACAGGAGUAUAAAAGAAAGACUUAAAACUUAAGAAGGAACUCGGCAAGCCCAGGCUUCGCCUGUUUACCAAAAACAUCGCCUUUUGAUAAAUAAAUAUAAAAGGUCCUGCCUGCCCAGUGAUAAUUAUUCAACGGCCGCGGUAUUAUGACCGUGCAAAGGUAGCAUAAUCACUUGUCUUCUAAAUUAAGACCAGCAUGAAUGGCAAGACGAAAGCCUAACUGUCUCCUUAAGUUAGUCAAUGAAAUUGAUCUUCUCGUGCAGAAGCGAGAAUAUAUAUAUAAGACGAGAAGACCCUGUGGAGUUUUAAAAUAAUAUUAUAUAAAUACUUUAUAAUAAUAUGGUUUUUAGGUUGGGGCGACCAUGAGGUAAAAAAAACCCCUCAAGAUAAUAAUUAGAAGGACACUUCAAAUAAAAAGUAAUACUUAUGCAUGACCCAAAAAUGAUCAACGAACCAAGUUACCCCAGGGAUAACAGCGCAAUCCAUUUCUAAAGCUCAUAUUAACAAAUGGGUUUACGACCUCGAUGUUGGAUCAGGACACCCAAAUGGUGCAACAGCUAUUAAAGGUUCGUUGUCAACG